RNAcentral lists this long non-coding RNA (1242 nucleotides) under Brassica napus (rape). Its description in RNAcentral is "long non-coding RNA (BNAP_LNC006490)". Lineage: Eukaryota; Viridiplantae; Streptophyta; Magnoliopsida; Brassicales; Brassicaceae. The record is from RNAcentral.
AACUUUAAAAACUCUUCAAAGCAUACUGUUCUCGAGGGAGAUCAAAUGGUGGUCGACUAAGUUUGAAGCAAUUUCAUUCUGAUGGACUAAGAGGGAGGCAAACAAAGUAGCAGAUCAGUUACCAACUACUAGGCCUUUAGACAAUUCUUUUAAAUUUCAUUACCAUGUAUCACAAUAUAACACUAAUCUUCUUAAUGAAGAUCAUGCAUGUGCUCUUGACUGCAUAUAGUAAUAAUAAACAUAGAGGUUAUAAAAAAUAAAAUUUAUAUUUUUCAAUUUGUGAUAUUAAUACAAGAUUGUAGAAUGUUUUUAUUGGAGAUAAAAAAAAAAUGAAAAUGAUGUUUUUGGAUCAUAAUGUUGGACUGAAGAUAUACUCAAUAUAUCAGUAAUCGUCUUCUGAAGAUCAUGCAUGUGCUCUCGACUGCAUAGUAAUAAUAAACAUAGAGGUUAUAAAAAAAUAAAAUUUAUAUUUUUUAAUUUGUGAUAUUAAUAGAAUGUUUUUACUGGAGAUAAAAAAAAGAAGGAAAAUGCUGUUUUUGGAUCAUAAUUUUGGACUGAAGAUAUACUCAAAAUUCACAUAAUCCUUAAACUGAUACAUUAGUGCUUAAUAUUGUAACCAAAAUAUAAAAUAAAAGAUUAAGUUAGAAAGUAUAUAAAAUUUUAUUUUUAAUAACAAUGUCGAUAACCUGAUUAGUAUUUUGAAAAGAUAGUAAUUGUAAAAAAAUGAAAUUUAAUAAUAAAAAUUAAAUAAGUUGUGCAUAUCUAUUUAGAAUAUCUUAAUUAUCUUUGUACACUGAGUUUUAAUCCAUAACUAUAUUUUAACUAUAAUUAAUGACUUCAAAAGGGUAAAACUCUAACACAAGAUUGUCUUGCUUUGCAUUACUCUGUUUUGUCAUUUUCAUUUUACACAAAUGUGUUGCUUUUAAUUUCUCUAUUCUUACUCUUGAAUUACAGGUUAAGAUGAUGAACAUGGAUGUAGAGUUUAUAGCAAAUAUAACUUUAAAAACUCUUCAAAGCAUACUGUUCUCGAGGGAGAUCAAAUGGUGGUCGACUAAGUUUGAAGCAAUUUCAUUCUGAUGGACUAAGAGGGAGGCAAACAAAGUAGCAGAUCAGUUACCAACUACUAGGCCUUUAGACAAUUCUUUUAAAUUUCAUUACCAUGUAUCACAAUAUAACACUAAUCUUCUUAAUGAAGAUCAUGCAUGUGCUCUUGACUGCAUAUAGUAAUAAUAAACAUAGAGG